AGUGAACGCUGGCGGUAGGCCUAACACAUGCAAGUCGAACGGCAGCACAGUAAGUGCUUGCUCUUACGGGUGGCGAGUGGCGGACGGGUGAGGUAUACAUCGUCAUCUACUUCUUCGUGUGGGAUAACGUAGGGAAACUUACUCUAAUACCGCAUACGACCUACGGGUGAAAGCAGGGGAUCUUCGGACCUUUCGCGAUUGUUUGAGCCGAUGUCGGAUUAGCUAGUUGGCGGGGUAAAGGCCCACCAAGGCGACGAUCCGUAGCUGGUCUGAGAGGAUGAGAAGCAACACUGGAACUGAGAGACGGACAAGAGGCCUACGGGAGGAAGCAGUGGGGAAGAUGGGACAAUGGGCGCAAGCCUGAUACAGCCAUACCGCGUGGGUGAAGGAGGACUUCGGGUUGUAAAGACGUUUUGUUGGGAAAGAAAAGAAGCAGGUUAAAAAACGGCUGUGGUGACGGUACCGAAAGAAUAAGCACCGGCUAACUACGUG
Molecule: ribosomal RNA, 492 nt
Filed under: uncultured bacterium
Lineage: Bacteria
Description: partial 16S ribosomal RNA
Rfam family: Bacterial small subunit ribosomal RNA
Source: RNAcentral